This 552-nucleotide ribosomal RNA is filed under the name uncultured bacterium. RNAcentral's name for it is "partial 16S ribosomal RNA". It matches the Rfam family "Bacterial small subunit ribosomal RNA", at positions 356 to 900 of the family's 1533-position model. The record is from RNAcentral.
AGGGAAUCUUCCACAAUGGACGCAAGUCUGAUGGAGCAACGCCGCGUGAGUGAAGAAGGUUUUCGGACCGUAAAGCUCUGUUGUUGGUGAAGAAGGAUAGAGGUAGUAACUGGCCUUUAUUUGACGGUAAUCAACCAGAAAGUCACGGCUAACUACGUGCCAGCAGCCGCGGUAAUACGUAGGCGGCAAGCGUUGUCCGGAUUUAUUGGGCGUAAAGCGAGCGCAGGCGGAAGAAUAAGUCUGAUGUGAAAGCCCUCGGCUUAACCGAGGAAUUGCAUCGGAAACUGUUUUCUUGAGUGCAGAAGAGGAGAGUAGAACUCCAUGUGUAGCGGUGGAAUGCGUAGAUAUAUGGAAGAAUACCAGUGGCGAAGGCGGCUCUCUGGUCUGCAACUGACGCUGAGGCUCGAAAGCAUGGUAGCGAACAGGAUUAGAUACCCUGGUAGUCCAUGCCGUAAACGAUGAGUGCUAAGUGUUGGGAGGCUUCCGCCUCUCAGUGCUGCAGCUAACGCAUUAAGCACUCCGCCUGGGGGAGUACGACCGCAAGGUUGAAAC